UAUAGGUGAGAUCAAGGCAAUACCUGAAU
RNAcentral lists this small RNA (29 nucleotides) under Bombyx mori (domestic silkworm). RNAcentral describes it as "ovarian small RNA-23389". Lineage: Eukaryota; Metazoa; Arthropoda; Insecta; Lepidoptera; Bombycidae. The record is from RNAcentral.